RNAcentral lists this ribosomal RNA (466 nucleotides) under uncultured Polaribacter sp. RNAcentral describes it as "bacterial SSU rRNA". It matches the Rfam family "Bacterial small subunit ribosomal RNA", at positions 33 to 496 of the family's 1533-position model. The record is from RNAcentral. Lineage: Bacteria; Pseudomonadati; Bacteroidota; Flavobacteriia; Flavobacteriales; Flavobacteriaceae.
ACGCUAGCGGCAGGCUUAACACAUGCAAGUCGAGGGGUAACAUUGUGCUUGCACAGAUGACGACCGGCGCACGGGUGCGUAACGCGUAUAGAACCUACCUUUUACAGAGGAAUAGCCUUUAGAAAUGAAGAUUAAUACCUUAUAGUAUUGUAGACUGGCAUCAGUUUAUAAUUAAAGAUUUAUCGGUAAAAGAUGGCUAUGCGUCCUAUUAGUUAGUUGGUAAGGUAACGGCUUACCAAGACAGCGAUAGGUAGGGGUCCUGAGAGGGAGAUCCCCCACACUGGUACUGAGACACGGACCAGACUCCUACGGGAGGCAGCAGUGAGGAAUAUUGGACAAUGGAGGAGACUCUGAUCCAGCCAUGCCGCGUGUAGGAAGAAUGCCCUAUGGGUUGUAAACUACUUUUAUACAGGAAGAAACACUGGUAUGUAUACCAGCUUGACGGUACUGUAAGAAUAAGGACCGG